UACGGAGGGUGCAAGCGUUAUCCGGAUUUACUGGGUUUAAAGGGUGCGUAGGUGGAUUUGUAAGUCAGUGGUGAAAUCUCCGAGCUUAACUCGGAAACUGCCAUUGAUACUAUAAGUCUUGAAUUAUCUGGAGGUGAGCGGAAUAUGUCAUGUAGCGGUGAAAUGCUUAGAUAUGACAUAGAACACCAAUUGCGAAGGCAGCUCACUAAACUGUAACUGACGCUGAGGCACGAAAGCGUGGGUAUCAAACAGG
Molecule: ribosomal RNA, 253 nt
Filed under: uncultured bacterium
Lineage: Bacteria
Description: partial 16S ribosomal RNA
Rfam family: Bacterial small subunit ribosomal RNA
Source: RNAcentral